This 523-nucleotide ribosomal RNA is filed under the name uncultured bacterium. RNAcentral's name for it is "partial 16S ribosomal RNA". The record is from RNAcentral.
ACUGACAGCCAUGGUUACCGCGGCUGCUGGCACGGAGUUAGCCGGUGCUUCUUCUGCGAGUAACGUCACAGAUGUAAGGUAUUAACUUACACCCUUUCCUCCUCGCUGAAAGUGCUUUACAACCCGAAGGCCUUCUUCACACACGCGGCAUGGCUGCAUCAGGGUUUCCCCCAUUGUGCAAUAUUCCCCACUGCUGCCUCCCGUAGGAGUCUGGGCCGUGUCUCAGUCCCAGUGUGGCUGAUCAUCCUCUCAGACCAGCUAGGGAUCGUCGCCUAGGUGAGCCUUUACCUCACCUACUAGCUAAUCCCACCUGGGCUUAUCCAUCAGCGCAAGGCCCGAAGGUCCCCUGCUUUCCCCCGGUAGGGCGUAUGCGGUAUUAGCAGUCGUUUCCAACUGUUAUCCCCCACAAAUGGGCAAAUUCCCAGGCAUUACUCACCCGUCCGCCGCUCGUCAUCUUCAAAAGCAAGCUUUUGAAAUGUUACCGCUCGACUUGCAUGUGUUAGGCCUGCCGCCAGCGUUCAAU